RNA transcript from Mercurialis annua (annual mercury), 2248 nucleotides. RefSeq lists it as uncharacterized. The record is from RefSeq and is a predicted model, not a curated record. Lineage: Eukaryota; Viridiplantae; Streptophyta; Magnoliopsida; Malpighiales; Euphorbiaceae. The transcript is spliced from 8 exons.
UAAAAAGUGUUCAAUUUUUGAUAUUGAUUGAUCACCAAGAAAAACAACACUAAUCAAAAAGCUAUCUUCUUUCAAAAUCUUUACAAGUUGAGCUUCAAUUAUGGCUACCCUUAACACCAUCUCUUCCCAUAAACUCUCUAAAUCCAUCACACAAACACAAUUCUAUCAACCCAAAUCAUCAAAAAGAUUACCCAUUUUGACCAAUAACAGAAAGAAAUUUGCAAUUGGGUCCAUCACAGAGGACAGAGAAGUGGUUCCUAUAAGAAAUAAAAAAACUUCAAAGAACCAAAAUUUAUUAGUUGAUGGGCCUAAAGAUAUUGAGGGUCUUGUGUCUUCUUCUUCAAUUGAAGAGAAAAAAGAAGACGAUGGUAAUGACAAAGAUAAGUUAAUGACUAGAGCAAUUAAUGCUAGUAUUGUUUUGGGGUUUGGGACUGUUGCUGUUAGUAAGCUGCUCACUAUUGAUCAUGAUUAUUGGCAUGGAUGGACCCUUUACGAGAUACUAAGGUAUGUACCUGAACACAAUUGGAUUGCUUAUGAACAAGCUCUCAAAUCAAACCCGGUUUUAGCAAAAAUGGCUAUUAGUGGUAUUGUCUACUCUAUAGGGGAUUGGAUUGCACAAUGUUAUGAAGGAAAACCGAUUUUUGAGUUUGACCGGACACGCACGUUUAGAUCAGGCCUUGUUGGAUUUACUCUUCAUGGAUCUCUUUCUCAUUAUUAUUACCAAUUCUGCGAGGCUCUUUUUCCUUUUGAAGAUUGGUGGGUGGUGCCUGCCAAAGUUGCCUUUGAUCAAACAGUGUGGGCGGCAAUUUGGAACAGCAUCUAUUUUGUGGUGUUAGGCUUUCUGCGUUUUGAGUCUCCGGCCAAUGUUUUUAGUGAGCUGACGGCUACGUUUUGGCCUAUGUUGACCGCAGGAUGGAAGCUUUGGCCAUUUGCUCAUUUGAUCACUUACGGCGUUGUCCCUCUAGAACAAAGACUCCUUUGGGUAGAUUGCGUGGAGCUCAUCUGGGUUACGAUACUUUCUACUUACUCAAAUGAGAAAUCAGAAGUUCGGACUUCUGAGGCGGCAAUAGAUGCAACCUUUAAUUCUUCAAGCAAUCCUACUGAGGAGUAACUGAAUAGGAAUAUCAUGAAUUGCUCAGAACGAUUUGCGACAAUUAUCCCAAUAUUGAUCAACCACGGUCAACCUUCUGCUUCUUGAAGGCAUACAUAUUUCCCCGGGAAUACUCAACCGACCAGCAAGAAUCGCCAAAGCGAGAAUUAAUACUUUGUUAUACUGAUAUGUAUCUUAGUAGUCUGUUACAGUCAGAUAUUUCGCCUGCCUGUAUCAGGCAAACUAAUAAAAUGUACUGAACACGAAAGAAAUACAUAUAUAGCUUCUUCAACAUAAACCCGCCAUCUUAGCCAACAAGUAACCAACGACUCAGUAAGGUAUACGGAUUUGAAGGUUACCGAGACAUUAGUUUCAGGAUCUAAUUAACUAAAAAAGGUAAAAGCGACUUAACCUACUUUAAGACAAAGUUUUGAGAUCUAAUUAACUAAAAAAACUAAAAGUGAUUUAUUUGACUCGGAGACACAAAUUUGAGUGCUGAGUUAAUCCUUUACUCUUUAAAUUUUAGGCAAAGUUAGUAUUUCUUUAAUAUUAAUUCAAUAAAAUAACAAUAUUAAAAAAAACAGACUCGAUCUAAAAUCAAACUUUCAGAUCCCCAAAUUUAAAAUCUUAUUCCCAAAACCUAGAUAUCCCUCACAAAUAACAUUUGAAAAAAAAAAAUCAAUUCCAAUUUUUAUGCUAAAAAAAUGGCUAAACUAGAAGCAAUGGAUGAUGAAGAACCAAAGCAAAAGAGUGACAAAAUCAAAAGCCAAAGCAAAAGAAAUCAUGGGUCCACUAAGUUGUUUGUUUUUAUAGAUUACUUAUUCAUCUUCAUCUUUCUUGUUUUCCUGUGCUUCAUUCUCUUCAAGAUUGUUGGUGUUUAAUUAUUAAAUUCCCUUUUUUUCUCAGCUUCACAUUGUUUUUGCCAGGAUGUUGUGAGACAAUGCAGUUCUUCUGUUUGGAAGUUCUCACUCGGAGCAUUUGCAUGUUUUGGCUAUAUUGAAAUCAGAUAAUGUUUCAAAAAUAUUUUAGUUCGGGAUGAGAAAACAUGUUUUGUAUUUAGUAGAAAAUUUGUAUGUAUUCUUUCUGUUCUCAGAGAUGAACUUUUGCGUGUACGCUAAUUAGUGAAUGAAUAUAUUUGGUAUCUGGUGUUGUAGUUUA